GACAUCAGGAGGUUAGUGCAAUGGCAUAAGCCAGCUUGACUGCGAGCGUGACGGCGCGAGCAGGUGCGAAAGCAGGUCAUAGUGAUCCGGUGGUUCUGAAUGGAAGGGCCAUCGCUCAACGGAUAAAAGGUACUCCGGGGAUAACAGGCUGAUACCGCCCAAGAGUUCAUAUCGACGGCGGUGUUUGGCACCUCGAUGUCGGCUCAUCACAUCCUGGGGCUGAAGUAGGUCCCAAGGGUAUGGCUGUUCGCCAUUUAAAGUGGUACGCGAGCUGGGUUUAGAACGUCGUGAGACAGUUCGGUCCCUAUCUGCCGUGGGCGCUGGAGAACUGAGGGGGGCUGCUCCUAGUACGAGAGGACCGGAGUGGACGCAUCACUGGUGUUCGGGUUGUCAUGCCAAUGGCACUGCCCGGUAGCUAAAUGCGGAAGAGAUAAGUGCUGAAAGCAUCUAAGCACGAAACUUGCCCCGAGAUGAGUUCUCCCUGAGACUUUAGGUCUCCUGAAGGAACGU
This 510-nucleotide ribosomal RNA is filed under the name Salmonella enterica subsp. enterica serovar Enteritidis. RNAcentral describes it as "partial 23S ribosomal RNA". It matches the Rfam family "Bacterial large subunit ribosomal RNA", at positions 2334 to 2838 of the family's 2925-position model. The record is from RNAcentral. Lineage: Bacteria; Pseudomonadati; Pseudomonadota; Gammaproteobacteria; Enterobacterales; Enterobacteriaceae.